GGCCACAGCCAUAUCACCCUACAGCUCAAGAGUGGUUACUCACUGAAGCUACGCAGGGCUGAGCUUGCUCAAUACCUAGAAGGGAGACCACAUGGGGAAACUCGGUUGCUGUUGGUU
Molecule: ribosomal RNA, 117 nt
Filed under: Danio rerio (zebrafish)
Lineage: Eukaryota; Metazoa; Chordata; Actinopteri; Cypriniformes; Danionidae
Source: RNAcentral